This 1401-nucleotide ribosomal RNA is filed under the name Peltula auriculata. RNAcentral describes it as "LSU rRNA". It matches the Rfam family "Eukaryotic large subunit ribosomal RNA", at positions 37 to 1447 of the family's 3401-position model. Lineage: Eukaryota; Fungi; Ascomycota; Lichinomycetes; Lichinales; Phylliscaceae. The record is from RNAcentral.
AGCAUAUCAAUAAGCGGAGGAAAAGAAACCAACAGGGAUUGCCUCAGUAACGGCGAGUGAAGCGGCAGCAGCUCAGAUUUGGAAUCUGGCCCCGUGGUGGGGCCCGAGUUGUAGUCUGUAGAGGAUGCUUCGGGGGCCGACCGGGCCCAAGUUCCUUGGAACAGGACGUCAGAGAGGGUGAGAGUCCCGUCUGUGGCCCGGAUCCUCGCCCCUGGGUGAAGCUCCCUCGACGAGUCGAGUUGUUUGGGAAUGCAGCUCAAACCGGGUGGUAAAUCUCAUCUAAAGCUAAAUACCGGCUGGAGACCGAUAGCGCACAAGUAGAGUGAUCGAAAGAUGAAAAGCACUUUGAAAAGAGAGUUAAACAGCACGUGAAAUUGUUGAAAGGGAAGCGCUCGCGAUCAGACCUGCCUGCGGUUCCUCAGCCGACGGACUUCCCCGCCGGCGCAUUGGGCCGUGGGCAGGCCAGCAUCGGCUUGGGCGGCGGAAGAAGGACCCUCGGGAUGUGGCUCCCUUCGGGGAGCGUUAUAGCCGGGGGUGUGACGCCGCCGCCUGGACCGAGGCCCGCGCUCCGGCAAGGAUGCUGGCGUAAUGGUCGCCAGCGACCCGUCUUGAAACACGGACCAAGGAGUCUAACAUCCACGCGAGUGUUUGGGUGUCAAACCCCCGACGCGUAAUGAAAGUGAACGGAGGUGGGAACCCGCAGGGGAUGCACCAUCGACCGAUCCUGAAGUUCACGGAUGGAUUUGAGUACGAGCGUGGCUGUUGGGACCCGAAAGAUGGUGAACUAUGCCUGAAUAGGGUGAAGCCAGAGGAAACUCUGGUGGAGGCUCGCAGCGGUUCUGACGUGCAAAUCGAUCGUCAAAUUUGGGUAUAGGGGCGAAAGACUAAUCGAACCAUCUAGUAGCUGGUUCCUGCCGAAGUUUCCCUCAGGAUAGCAGUAACGCGUGGCAGUUUUAUGAGGUAAAGCGAAUGAUUAGAGGCCUUGGGGUUGAAACAACCUUAACCUAUUCUCAAACUUUGAAUAUGUAAGAAGUCCUUGUUGCUUGGUUGAACGUGGACAUUCGAAUGUACCGUUACUAGUGGGCCAUUUUUGGUAAGCAGAACUGGCGAUGCGGGAUGAACCGGACGCGGGGUUAAGGUGCCGGAAUGCACGCUCAUCAGACACCACAAAAGGUGUUGGUUCAUCUAGACAGCAGGACGGUGGCCAUGGAAGUCGGAACCCGCUAAGGAGUGUGUAACAACUCACCUGCCGAAUGAACUAGCCCUGAAAAUGGAUGGCGCUCAAGCGUGCUACCCAUACCCCGCCGCCAGGGUAAGAACGAGGCCCUGGCGAGUAGGCAGGCGUGGGGGUCCGUGACGAAGCCUUGGGAGCGAUCCCGGGUCGAACCACCUCUAGUGCAG